RNAcentral lists this transfer-messenger RNA (361 nucleotides) under Deltaproteobacteria bacterium. It matches the Rfam family "transfer-messenger RNA". Rfam says of the family: Bacterial tmRNA, also known as 10Sa RNA or SsrA, is named for its dual tRNA and mRNA-like properties. The record is from RNAcentral. Lineage: Bacteria; Pseudomonadati; Myxococcota; Myxococcia.
GGGGGCGUACCGGUUUCGACGGGGAUGAUGAUUUUCGAGCUGCGCGUCGUGGCGCCCAUGGCCACGUAAAAAUGGGCAAAACUGCAACCGCGAACGAUAACAACGCUGUUGCUCUCGCCGCCUGAAAAAAAUCAGGUAGCGACGGUGUCUUGAGCUUCCGUCUGUAGCCCAAGAACACCGCCACAAUCAGGCUAGGCCUUCCGAAGUGUCAGUGCAGGAAGGCCGAGAUCAGCUGACUUGUUGUGCUCGCAGGCCGGCCGCUGCCGUCGAGCACGAGACCACGUAAAUAGCGUGCCUACACGCGAAGACGCUCGAUCUAAGGCAUUUCCGGACGCGGGUUCGACUCCCGCCGCUUCCACUA